RNAcentral lists this ribosomal RNA (386 nucleotides) under uncultured eukaryote. RNAcentral's name for it is "SSU rRNA". It matches the Rfam family "Eukaryotic small subunit ribosomal RNA", at positions 587 to 972 of the family's 1831-position model. The record is from RNAcentral.
AGCUCCAAUAGCGUAUAUUAAAGUUGUUGCGGUUAAAAAGCUCGUAGUUGGAUCUCGGCGGGCAGGGGGCGGUCCGUUAUUUGACGCGACUGCCCCAUUUGUCCGUGUUUCUCGGCGGAAUUCGCAGGGUGCUCUUCACCGAGUGUCCUGCGGGGCCGCCAGGUUUACUUUGAAAAAAUUAGAGUGCUCCAAGCAGGCUCGACACGCCUGAAUAUUCGUGCAUGGAAUAAUGGAAUAGGACGUCGUUCCUAUUUUGUUGGUUUUCGGGAAUCGACGUAAUGAUUAAUAGGGACAGCCGGGGGCAUUCGUAUUCAGACGACAGAGGUGAAAUUCUUGGACCGUCUGAAGACGAACGACUGCGAAAGCAUUUGCCAAGAGUGUUUUCA